This 491-nucleotide ribosomal RNA is filed under the name uncultured bacterium. RNAcentral's name for it is "partial 16S ribosomal RNA". It matches the Rfam family "Bacterial small subunit ribosomal RNA", at positions 30 to 507 of the family's 1533-position model. The record is from RNAcentral.
UUGAACGCUGGCGGCAUGCUUUACCCCUGCAAGUCGCACGGUAACAGGCCUUCGGGUGCUGACGAGUGGCGAACGGGUGAGUAAUGCAUCGGAACGUACCCAGAGGUGGGGGAUAACGCAGCGAAAGCUGUGCUAAUACUGCAUGUGAUCUGAGGAUGAAAGCGGGGGACCGAGCAGCAAUGUUUGGCCUCGCGCCUUUGGAGCGGCCGAUGUCGGAUUAGCUAGUUGGUGGGGUAAAGGCCUACCAAGGCGACGAUCCGUAGCUGGUCUGAGAGGACGACCAGCCACACUGGGACUGAGACACGGCCCAGACUCCUACGGGAGGCAGCAGUGGGGAAUUUUGGACAAUGGGCGCAAGCCUGAUCCAGCAAUGCCGCGUGCGGGAAGAAGGCCUUCGGGUUGUAAACCGCUUUUGGCAGGAACGAAACGGUGUCCGCUAAUACCGGGCGCUAAUGACGGUACCUGCAGAAUAAGCACCGGCUAACUACGUG